GGAGAUGUAGCUCAGUGGCAGAGUGCUUGCCUUGCAUGCAUGAGGACAUGGUUUCAAUUCCC
This 62-nucleotide transfer RNA is filed under the name Heterocephalus glaber (naked mole-rat). It matches the Rfam family "tRNA", at positions 1 to 61 of the family's 71-position model. From Rfam's summary of the family: Transfer RNA (tRNA) molecules are approximately 80 nucleotides in length. Their secondary structure includes four short double-helical elements and three loops (D, anti-codon, and T loops). Lineage: Eukaryota; Metazoa; Chordata; Mammalia; Rodentia; Bathyergidae. The record is from Rfam by way of RNAcentral.